Small nucleolar RNA from Cynara cardunculus var. scolymus (artichoke), 107 nucleotides. The record is from RefSeq and is a predicted model, not a curated record. Lineage: Eukaryota; Viridiplantae; Streptophyta; Magnoliopsida; Asterales; Asteraceae.
UUGCCAUGGUGAGGGAAUUUUCUUAACAGUUCUUUGAACCUCUCCAAUGCAUCAGUAACAAAUUCAUCGUCCAAUUGUUUAAAAAGACAGAUUUCAAUUCAGGACUU